GACGAACCGUGCGAACGUUGUUCGGAAUCACUGGGCUUAAAGGGCGCGUAGGCGGGUUCGCAAGUCAGGGGUGAAAUCUUUCAGCUUAACUGGAAAACAGCCCCUGAUACUGCGAGUCUCGAGGGAGGUAGGGGCAUGUGGAACUUCCGGUGGAGCGGUGAAAUGCGUAGAGAUCCGGAGGAACACCGACGGCGAAGGCAGCGCCCUGGCCGACAACUGACGCUCAGGCACGAAAGCUGGGGGAGCAAACAGG
This 253-nucleotide ribosomal RNA is filed under the name uncultured bacterium. RNAcentral's name for it is "partial 16S ribosomal RNA". It matches the Rfam family "Bacterial small subunit ribosomal RNA", at positions 524 to 776 of the family's 1533-position model. The record is from RNAcentral.